GUGGGGAAUAUUGGGCAAUGGGCGAAAGCCUGACCCAGCAACGCCGCGUGAAGGAAGAAGGUCUUCGGAUCGUAAACUUCUAUCCUUGGUGAAGAUAAUGACGGUAGCCGAGAAGGAAGCCCCGGCUAACUACGUGCCAGCAGCCGCGGUAAUACGUAGGGGGCAAGCGUUGUCCGGAAUGAUUGGGCGUAAAGGGCGCGUAGGCGGCCUGGUAAGUCUGGAGUGAAAGUCCUGCUUUUAAGGUGGGAAUUGCUUUGGAUACUGUCGGGCUUGAGUGCAGGAGAGGUAAGUGGAAUGCCCGGUGUAGCGGUGAAAUGCGUAGAGAUCGGGAGGAACACCAGUGGCGAAGGCGACUUACUGGACUGUAACUGACGCUGAGGCGCGAAAGUGUGGGGAGCAAACAGGAUUAGAAACCCGAGUAGUCC
RNAcentral lists this ribosomal RNA (425 nucleotides) under uncultured bacterium. RNAcentral describes it as "partial 16S ribosomal RNA". It matches the Rfam family "Bacterial small subunit ribosomal RNA", at positions 354 to 796 of the family's 1533-position model. The record is from RNAcentral.